RNAcentral lists this ribosomal RNA (253 nucleotides) under uncultured prokaryote. Its description in RNAcentral is "partial 16S ribosomal RNA". It matches the Rfam family "Bacterial small subunit ribosomal RNA", at positions 525 to 777 of the family's 1533-position model. The record is from RNAcentral.
ACGAAGGUCCCGAGCGUUGUUCGGAAUCACUGGGCGUAAAGGGAGCGUAGGCGGCGUGGUAAGUCAGAUGUGAAAUCCCGGGGCUCAACCCCGGAACUACAUCCGAUACUGCCGUGCUAGAGGAUUGGAGAGGUAGCUGGAAUUCUUGGUGUAGCAGUGAAAUGCGUAGAUAUCAGAAGGAACAUCAGUGGCGAAGGCGGCUUCCUGGACCAAUACUGACGGUCAGGUGCGAAAGCGUGGGGAGCAAACAGGA